RNAcentral lists this unclassified non-coding RNA (375 nucleotides) under soil metagenome. Its description in RNAcentral is "partial contains 5.8S ribosomal RNA, internal transcribed spacer 2, and large subunit ribosomal RNA". The stretch from base 1 to 120 matches the Rfam family "5.8S ribosomal RNA", at positions 35 to 154 of the family's 154-position model. The record is from RNAcentral.
GAUGAAGAACGUAGCGAAAUGCGAUAAGUAAUGUGAAUUGCAGAAUUCAGUGAAUCAUCGAAUCUUUGAACGCACAUUGCGCCCGCCAGUAUUCUGGCGGGCAUGCCUGUUCGAGCGUCAUUUCAACCCUCAGGCCCCCAGUGCCUGGCGUUGGGGAUCGGCACACGGCCCGCGGCCUCUCUCCGGAGGGGACCCGCGGCGCCCGCCGGCCCCGAAAUCUAGUGGCGGUCUCGCUGUAGUCCUCCUCUGCGUAGUAGCACAACCUCGCAGUUGGAACGCGGCGGUGGCCAUGCCGUUAAACACCCCACUUCUGAAAGUUGACCUCGGAUCAGGUAGGAAUACCCGCUGAACUUAAGCAUAUCAAUAAGCGGAGGA